This 964-nucleotide ribosomal RNA is filed under the name uncultured organism. Its description in RNAcentral is "bacterial SSU rRNA". It matches the Rfam family "Bacterial small subunit ribosomal RNA", at positions 440 to 1415 of the family's 1533-position model. The record is from RNAcentral.
AUGGGAAGAAGACCGUGACGGUACCAAUUGAAUAAGCCCCGGCUAACUACGUGCCAGCAGCCGCGGUAAGACGUAGGGGGCAAGCGUUACCCGGAAUCACUGGGCGUAAAGGGAGCGUANGCGGUUAUGCAGGUCAUACGUUAAAGCAUUCGGCUCAACCGAAGAGAUGCGUAUGAAACCGUAUAACUUGAGGAUAUCAGAGGAAAAGGGAAUUACCAUUGUAGGGGUGAAAUCCGUAGAGAGUGGUAAGAAUGCCGGUGGCGAAGGCGCUUUUCCGGGGUAUACCUGGCGCUGAGGCUCGAAAGCCAGGGGAGCGAACCGGAUUAGAUACCCGGGUAGUCCUGGCCGUAAACGAUGUUCACUAGGUGUAGGAUGUCGACAGGCAAACUGUGCUGAAGCAAACGCGAUAAGUGAACCGCCUGGGGAGUACGUCCGCAAGGAUGAAACUCAAAGGAAUUGACGGGGGCCCGCACAAGCGGUGGAGCGUGUGGUUUAAUUCGAAGCUAAGCGAAGAACCUCACCAGGUCUUGACAUAUAGGUAGUAGGGAAGCGAAAGCGGACCGACUUUAGUUUACUAGAGAGCCUAUACAGGUGGUGCAUGGUCGUCGUCAGCUCGUGCCGUGAGGUGUUGGGUUUAAGUCCCGCAACGAGCGCAACCCUUGUUUUUAGUUGCCAGCAUUAAGGUGGGCACUCUAAAGAGACUGCCGUCGAAGAGACGGAGGAAGGAGGGGACGACGUCAGAUCAUCAUGCCCCUUAUGAUCUGGGCUACACACGCGCUACAAUGGGUUAGACAGAAGGCGAAACUGCAAAGUGGAGGGAAUCCUAAAACUAACCCCCAGUUCAGAUUGUAGGCUGAAACCCGCCUACAUGAAGUGGGAAUCGCUAGUAAUCGCAGAUCAGAACGCUGCGCUGAAUACGUUCCCGGGCCUCGUACACACCGCCCGUCACACCACCCGAGUUGGG